UACGUAGGGUGCAAGCGUUGUUCGGAAUCACUGGGCGUAAAGCGUGUGUAGGCUGUGAUUUAAGUCCGAUGUGAAAUCCUUUGGCUCAACCAGAGAACUGCAUUGGAAACUGGAUUGCUAGAGUUCGGAAGAGGAAGGUGGAAUUCCUGGUGUAGCGGUGAAAUGCGUAGAUAUCAGGAGGAAUACCGGAGGCGAAGGCGACCUUCUGGGCCGAUACUGACGCUGAGACACGAAAGCGUGGGGAGCAAACAGG
RNAcentral lists this ribosomal RNA (253 nucleotides) under uncultured bacterium. RNAcentral describes it as "partial 16S ribosomal RNA". It matches the Rfam family "Bacterial small subunit ribosomal RNA", at positions 524 to 776 of the family's 1533-position model. The record is from RNAcentral.